This 284-nucleotide ribosomal RNA is filed under the name uncultured Alistipes sp. Its description in RNAcentral is "partial 16S ribosomal RNA". It matches the Rfam family "Bacterial small subunit ribosomal RNA", at positions 59 to 339 of the family's 1533-position model. The record is from RNAcentral. Lineage: Bacteria; Pseudomonadati; Bacteroidota; Bacteroidia; Bacteroidales; Rikenellaceae.
AAGUCGAGGGGCAGCACGGUGUAGCAAUACACUGGUGGCGACCGGCGCACGGGUGCGUAACGCGUAUGCAACCUACCUUUAACAGGGGGAUAAUCCGAAGAAAUUUGGUCUAAUACCCCAUAAUAUCAUAGAAGGCAUCUUUUAUGGUUGAAAAUUCCGAUGGUUAGAGAUGGGCAUGCGUUGUAUUAGCUAGUUGGUGGGGUAACGGCUCACCAAGGCGACGAUACAUAGGGGGACUGAGAGGUUGACCGGCCACAUUGGGACUGAGAUACGGCCCAGACUCC